Molecule: ribosomal RNA, 434 nt
Filed under: Bacillus sp. oral taxon A03
Lineage: Bacteria; Bacillati; Bacillota; Bacilli; Caryophanales; Bacillaceae
Description: bacterial SSU rRNA
Rfam family: Bacterial small subunit ribosomal RNA
Source: RNAcentral
GACGAACGCUGGCGGCGUGCCUAAUACAUGCAAGUCGAGCGAAUCUGAGGGAGCUUGCUCCCAAAGAUUAGCGGCGGACGGGUGAGUAACACGUGGGUAACCUGCCUGUAAGAUUGGGAUAACUCCGGGAAACCGGAGCUAAUACCGGAUAACAAUUUGAACCGCAUGGUUCAAAUUUGAAAGACGGCUUUUGCUGUCACUUACAGAUGGACCCGCGGCGCAUUAGCUAGUUGGUGAGGUAACGGCUCACCAAGGCAACGAUGCGUAGCCGACCUGAGAGGGUGAUCGGCCACACUGGGACUGAGACACGGCCCAGACUCCUACGGGAGGCAGCAGUAGGGAAUCUUCCGCAAUGGACGAAAGUCUGACGGAGCAACGCCGCGUGAACGAUGAAGGCCUUCGGGUCGUAAAGUUCUGUUGUUAGGGAAGAACAA